Molecule: long non-coding RNA, 341 nt
Organism: Alosa sapidissima (American shad)
Lineage: Eukaryota; Metazoa; Chordata; Actinopteri; Clupeiformes; Clupeidae
Exons: 3
Source: RefSeq, a predicted model, not a curated record
AUGUGCUCCAGAAUGUUAUGGGUUCGUCCCUUAAUGGACCAUGCUACACCUUUUCACCAAGUUUAAUGGAAAUUGGGCCUGUAGGUUUUGCGUGAUCCUGCACACAGAUGAAGGGACAGAACCAGAACUGAAAACAUCUCUGGGAGAGGUCUCUUCUGCACAAGAACCACUCGCCGAUUUCAGAGCGCUGAGAACAUGGAGGGACCUCCACAAUCAGGCACCCCCUUCAAAAAAAAGGAGGAGACAGAAAAAAAGAAGGGGGGGGAAAAAGCCACAAUCAUCUCGGUGAGGGGAGGAGAAUUAUGGGAUGCCUCCCCUCCUUUUGUGUGGCAGGCGUCUGG